UGCAGUCGAACGAUACCAGAGAGCUUGCUUUCUGGGAAGUGGCGCACGGGUGCGUAACGCGUAUGCACCUACCUUAAUCAGGGGGAUAGCCUCUCGAAAGAGAGAUUAACACCGCAUAACAUUAUGAUAUGGCAUCAUAUUAUAAUCAAAUAUUUAUAGGAUUAAGAUGGGCAUGCGUGACAUUAGCUAGUUGGUGAGGUAACGGCUCACCAAGGCUACGAUGUCUAGGGGAUCUGAGAGGAUGACCCCCCACACUGGUACUGAGACACGGACCAGACUCCUACGGGAGGCAGCAGUAAGGAAUAUUGGUCAAUGGAGGCAACUCUGAACCAGCCAUGCCGCGUGCAGGAAGACGGCCCUAUGGGUUGUAAACUGCUUUUAUACGGGAAUAAACCUCUCUACGUGUAGAGAGUUGAAUGUACUGUAAGAAUAAGGAUCGGCUAACUCCGUGCCAGCAGCCGCGGUAAUACGGAGGAUCCAAGCGUUAUCCGGAU
This 494-nucleotide ribosomal RNA is filed under the name Pedobacter sp. Iso-54. RNAcentral describes it as "bacterial SSU rRNA". It matches the Rfam family "Bacterial small subunit ribosomal RNA", at positions 56 to 550 of the family's 1533-position model. Lineage: Bacteria; Pseudomonadati; Bacteroidota; Sphingobacteriia; Sphingobacteriales; Sphingobacteriaceae. The record is from RNAcentral.